UGGGGAAUAUUGCGCAAUGGGGGAAACCCUGACGCAGCAACGCCGCGUGGGUGAUGAAGGCCUUCGGGGUGUAAACCACUGUCAGGAGGGAAGAACGGCGCCGGUUCGAACAGUUCCGGCGAUUGACGGUACCUCCAAAGGAAGCGCCGGCUAACUCCGUGCCAGCAGCCGCGGUAAGACGGAGGGCGCAAGCGUUGUUCGGAAUUACUGGGCGUAAAGCGCGGGCAGGCGGUCUGUUAAGUCGUUUGUGAAAAUCCGGGGCUCAACCCCGGAAAUGCAUACGAUACUGGCAGGCUGGAGACUGGUAGAGGCUAGCGGAAUUCCUGGUGUAGCGGUGGAAUGCGUAGAUAUCAGGAAGAACACCUGUGGCGAAGGCGGCUAGCUGGGCCAGUUCUGACGCUGAUCCGCGAAAGCGUGGGGAGCAAACAGGAUUAGAUACCCCUGUAGUCCCUGAGCGGGCUGGCAAGGCGCAU
Molecule: ribosomal RNA, 473 nt
Filed under: uncultured bacterium
Lineage: Bacteria
Description: bacterial SSU rRNA
Rfam family: Bacterial small subunit ribosomal RNA
Source: RNAcentral